UUAACUUAUCAUAUAUAAUAGUGAGAAUCUUAGUAGGCUAUAUAUAUUUCCAGUUUUCUUAAGUUUUAUUUGAAAAAAAUGGAGAAUAGCUAUAAAUAUUGAUCUUGUGAUAUUUUAAAUUAGAGCUAAAUAGCGCGCGCAGAAUGUAUGUAGGUAGCACUGGUUCUGCGCCAUGGCCAUUUUGAUCUAUAUAAGUUGAAAGAGAAAGUGUUUGCUCGCUGGCUGUUUGCUCUUCUUUCUUCUUUCUUCGGUCUUUACUUCUUUGUGGCUAUCUUGAAAACGUUGAAUCCUAGAAUUCUUGAAAAACGUGGAAUCCAUAAAUUGCAAAGAAUUCAGAAAAUAAGUUCUUCAACAAUUAGCUCUUCUGAGAGCUACUACUAACAGCAACCGAGACAUGUUGGAAUCAAUAUUGAAAUCUCAAAAUCAAAAUACAGACCCCUGGUCAAACCAGCAGCAUGAUGAAAUCAACUUUGAUCCGGCACGAUUGCCAAUGAAGACUGAGGAGAGUCUGCUCAAAAUAGAAGAGGAGCUGAGAGAUAAUCAUUCCAAAAAUAACAUGGUAAGAUAUACUUUGUUGGUACAACUUCAGAUUUCAAUUUUCAGUUUAAUGUACAAGUAAAUCUGCAACUGGUGUUCAAUUUUUUAAACAAUAUUAGUUUUUUAAACUUGAAGUUUCUCCAAACUAAACUGUAUAAGAUAUUAUUGUCAGGAGAAAUGCUUGGAUCUUAUGGACAUACUGAUGUUAAAACCAUUAAAAAAUAAAAUUAUUAUGUUUGAUGUUACUAUGUUAAAGUAAAGAAGUUUUUACUAGUUUUUU
Long non-coding RNA from Nilaparvata lugens (brown planthopper), 817 nucleotides. RefSeq lists it as uncharacterized. The record is from RefSeq and is a predicted model, not a curated record. The transcript is spliced from 2 exons. Lineage: Eukaryota; Metazoa; Arthropoda; Insecta; Hemiptera; Delphacidae.